UACGUAGGGUGCAAGCGUUAAUCGGAAUUACUGGGCGUAAAGCGUGCGCAGGCGGUUUUCCAAGACAGAUGUGAAAUCCCCGGGCUCAACCUGGGAAUUGCAUUUGUGACUGCACGGCUAGAGUGUGUCAGAGGGGGGUAGAAUUCCACGUGUAGCAGUGAAAUGCGUAGAGAUGUGGAGGAAUACCGAUGGCGAAGGCAGCCCCCCUGGGAUAACACUGACGCUCAUGCACGAAAGCGUGGGGAGCAAACAGG
Molecule: ribosomal RNA, 254 nt
Filed under: uncultured bacterium
Lineage: Bacteria
Description: partial 16S ribosomal RNA
Rfam family: Bacterial small subunit ribosomal RNA
Source: RNAcentral